CUCCCCUGCUAACUGGGCAAAGAGGCACCUGGUCCGUGGUGCUGCUCUUAAAUCUAGCAGGGGAAGAGCAACGCGUCCCUGUUCAUCCCAGCACAGUAUCCUGGCCCAUAUCUGUUGCUGGUUCAUGCCGGGGGCACACGC
Molecule: small nucleolar RNA, 141 nt
Filed under: Pelusios castaneus (West African mud turtle)
Lineage: Eukaryota; Metazoa; Chordata; Testudines; Pelomedusidae
Description: Small nucleolar RNA SNORA48 (ENSPCEG00000004679.1)
Rfam family: Small nucleolar RNA SNORA48
About the family: The snoRNA ACA 48 has been identified to guide pseudouridylation of the residue U3797 in the 28S rRNA subunit. Its host gene EIF4A1 (eukaryotic translation initiation factor 4A1) is shared with U67 and snoRNA mgU6-77
Source: Rfam by way of RNAcentral